RNAcentral lists this long non-coding RNA (367 nucleotides) under Eucalyptus grandis. Its description in RNAcentral is "long non-coding RNA (EGRA_LNC004990)". Lineage: Eukaryota; Viridiplantae; Streptophyta; Magnoliopsida; Myrtales; Myrtaceae. The record is from RNAcentral.
CGGAAUUUCGUGCCGAUUGUCGUGGUGCAGACUGUUUAUUUAUUUGAGCUCUACGUUGUGUGGAAUUGAAUUUAUUGUGGAAUUUUAGGAAUUGUCCUAAAUUGUUUGUUAUUGAAUAUUUGAUUGGAAAUGGCCAAGUAUGGGUAUAUAGCGCCAGUACGUUGAUGGGCUAUAUAGUAGGGAGAAUGGUGAGAGCUAACUGAGAAUGUUAUUGGCUGAGACCAAUUAGGUACGAUAUUAUUGGACAUACGUGGUUCGGUGAUUGGAAGUAUCACUGGCGAAAACGGCGCCUUAAAGAACGCAUGUAAAUGACUUAUAGACAAACGUGGUUCGGUGGUUAUGGGAAUAUCACUGGUGAAAACGGCGC